RNA transcript from Mytilus trossulus (common blue mussel), 1680 nucleotides. RefSeq lists it as uncharacterized. The record is from RefSeq and is a predicted model, not a curated record. Lineage: Eukaryota; Metazoa; Mollusca; Bivalvia; Mytilida; Mytilidae. The transcript is spliced from 7 exons.
UUGAUUGAAGUAACAAUCAUCAGACUAUAACUAGUUAUUCUUUUUUGUCCACAGGUUACCACAUACAUUAAUGAAGAGUGUGAUAUGUAUGUUGCUGAUAAUUUUGAUUAUUUAUAUAAACCAUUCUUCUGCAGUUUUUUGGAAUCCAGUCGAACCAGUACAGUUUUACGAGAACGCAUGUCUGAUUUGUCAUCUUGGAUCUAAUAGAACCGGUACACCAAAAUGGACUGGAGGAUAUCUAGAUGAAAUUAUCACUUACAACGCAGCAUCUUUCUACAAAGAUAAAUAUACAGUUUAUUAUGACAACAACCAAAAACUAUAUUACUUGAAUAUAACAAAUUUUAAUGAGAAAGAUGUUAAUGUAGUGUACACUUGCUUUUAUGGUCUUCAAAAGUAUAGUAGGAAAUUGACACUCGAUAAAUAUAAAUUUGAACUUGUUCCUAAUGAAAAAUCAAUAAAAAGGCACAUAUGUUUGAACAAUACUGCUCUGACACUGAAUAUAUCAAUCACUAAUGUAUGGCCAGAUCCAUUUUGUCAUUCAUACAUCAAUAACCAGCUUUUGAACUAUACUGCAAGAAGUAACGUUUCCAAAGAAGGAACUUUUCUUCACUUUGAGUAUUCUCUGGACUACGAGUUUGACCAAUACCAUCAUAAUAUAACAGUUAACAUAACAUGUGUUAUUGGAACAAAGCAUAGAAUAUGGCAUACAAUUGUACCAAACCUUAGUGGACCUCCUGUUGAUAUUUGCCACAAUAAUGAAACAUUUGCAAUAGUAAUACUGAUAUUAGUUGUAGCAUCGGUAACAUUUGCACUCCUCUUAUUUUCUUGUUGGUGGAUUGGUAGUAAGAAGUGUUUGCCACAAUUGUAUGAGAUAGUUGACAGUAUAGUAUAUGGAAAAUACCAUGUACCACCGUUUAACUCCGCCAGUAGUGCAUGACUUGCUGCCGGUCCCCAGCCCGGAAGAAAAAGGAGGAGGGAAAAUUACGUUUGCUGAUUAACAGUUUUGCUUUUUUAAAAGCAAAAUAUUUUAAGUUACUUUUCGACUUACUAUAUGCAAUUAUCAUGCAUAAUAUGUUAGUCUAUACUGAGAGAGUAUUACUUUUCUGUGACGAUGUUUAUUUUCAAAACGGUUGUGCAUGCACGUUGUGCGACAGUUAUGUCCAAUGAUUUAGAAUACAACUUGAGGGAACUUGUUAUAUAAUGGAUGUGCACACCGGCAAGUUUAUAUUUCAAUUGAGAAAGAAAAAGUUAACAGUUCACUGGGUGAGAAAUGCUAUCAACAAGACACAAAAUUUAGGACCUUCUACGAUUUGUAGCUUUCAGAUUUUUUAUAGGGAACACAACUGCUACGAAAAUAGCAUCAGCAAAUGUCGAUACGGAUCAACCUCGCUAAUGAGGCUACAACCCAAUGGAAAUUUGAAAACUGAAAUAGUAUUUAAAACUCUACGCAUCCGAUUACCUAGAACCUUAUCUCAGACUACCAUCAAGGAGCUAUAUGUCUUCUCGUACGAAUACCCAUAGCAGUUGGAGAAUAUCGCCUCAAGACUGGAAGUAGUAGUUCAUUCUAGACACACAAAAAAGGUACACCAACGAGAAAUCAAGUAACAUUAGUAGUCAAAUAUUCCAUUUCUGGUACUAACAGCUGCUUUUGUGCAAAAUUUUUACAGACAGUAAAAUGCU